This 301-nucleotide ribosomal RNA is filed under the name uncultured bacterium. Its description in RNAcentral is "partial 16S ribosomal RNA". It matches the Rfam family "Bacterial small subunit ribosomal RNA", at positions 509 to 809 of the family's 1533-position model. The record is from RNAcentral.
CAGCAGCCGCGGUAAUACCGAGGGUGCGAGCGUUAAUCGGAUUUACUGGGCGUAAAGCGUGCGUAGGCGGCUAAUUGAGUCGGAUGUGAAAUCCCCGAGCUUAACUUGGGAAUUGCAUUCGAUACUGGUUAGCUAGAGUGUGGGAGAGGAUGGUAGAAUUCCAGGUGUAGCGGUGAAAUGCGUAGAGAUCUGGAGGAAUACCGAUGGCGAAGGCAGCCAUCUGGCCUAACACUGACGCUGAGGUACGAAAGCAUGGGGAGCAAACAGGAUUAGAUACCCCGGUAGUCCCUGUCUCUUAUAA